CAGAAACACAGAGCUGUCUGAUGGAACGGUGAAGAUCAAACAGGGGGAAAAAAACAGGAGAAAAGAACAUAGGAGGCCACAGUCGCAGAGAAUAAGAAAAGCAAGAGGACAGAACUUUGGGGCUCCUCCAAGGACAAGAGAUCUUAAAAGCGGCCGGAACUCAUCUCAAGAGGGAAAAAUGGAAGAAGAACUCCACAAAGUAAAGACGACUGGACACCAAAACUGUCAGCGAAAAGUGGUGAGUGCCUCCAUUGUUACUGACCUGUCGAAAGAGUGGAACUGCAUGGGCAGCAUUGGGUGAGUCUUCAGCGCAGGAUCUGGGUGAUAGGGCGUCGGACCAGACUCCUGUCCCAGAUCACUGCCGUCCACGGGCGCCGCCACCAGACUCUUCAGGAUCUCCUGUGAUUGUGCCGAGGCCCAGCCCCAGCCCCAUCUCCGAGCCGUUCAGGGAUCCCGCCACAUGGCCCUCCUCGCCGAUGCCCGAGUCUGUAUGGGGGAGGCCGGCCCGGGGAGAGUCGUCCACUGGGGCUGGUGGACCUGCCAAUCUCCCGCUGGGGUUCCAAAAUGUCCCGGUACUUGGACACCAUGAGAACGGAGAUAAAGUAGACGACUGCCAGCGCCAGAAACUGAGCCUGCUUGCUGUCAUCCUAAAGAAAA
Molecule: long non-coding RNA, 657 nt
Organism: Labrus mixtus (cuckoo wrasse)
Lineage: Eukaryota; Metazoa; Chordata; Actinopteri; Labriformes; Labridae
Exons: 4
Source: RefSeq, a predicted model, not a curated record